This 3216-nucleotide long non-coding RNA is filed under the name Varroa destructor (honeybee mite). RNAcentral's name for it is "uncharacterized LOC111255120, transcript variant X3". The record is from RNAcentral. Lineage: Eukaryota; Metazoa; Arthropoda; Arachnida; Mesostigmata; Varroidae.
ACAACAAUAACAACAACAAACAGCCCCGAGGAAAACGAUCAUAUCAGGCAUAUGACUAGCGUCAGACACUGGAGAGCGGAUUCUGGUUCCUGACAAUUCGUGCUGCCGCCCAUCUCGACAGCUGAACGAAUGAAGCUGUUUUGAACGGCGGACACACGCAGUAACUACUAUCAAAUGUCAGAAUCAGGCAGCAUUUGAAACAAUAUUCCAUAGGUUAGAAGAGGUUAACUUGGCGGCGGGUGUUUCGACUGCCAAUACGGCAUACAUAAGAGCACGUAACUCACAGUUUGUUGGUUUAGUGAGGUAAUUCCCGGUAGCUGAAUAAAUUGCGACAGUUCUAAAAUGUUAUUAAAACUACCCCACUUGUCCCUAGUUUUACCCAAUGCAACUAAGGGUAUCUCCAAUUGAUGGAACGCACUGUGGUAAAAACAAAACUAUAAUGUGAAAUCGGUUUUGUUGUGCUUAUAGGAUUCUUGCGCAUUACAAAAAAACAUUGAUCUGCGAUAGCUAAUGGGAAAUUAAUGUUUGUGAUCCUGCUCCUCCAAUUAACUGUGUACUCAUUUACCUACAAGGAGGUCUUCUACUUCGCCAAGAGAGGUCAACCUUUAUAAUAAUUUUCACUAUAUAGAGAUCUUCGUUAAUUUUUUUUCUUUUCCUUCUGCGUAUAACCUGGACAGUGCGCGCGCUCUUCAUUUUGUUUUUGUCUGAUUCUCUCUGUCUUCGCUUCCGUCUCUAGAACUGCCGCCAACAAGCGCUAGGCACACAAAUAAACCGACCGACAGACAGGCAAAAAAAAUACAGACCAAGCGUUGCUAUCCGGGGGUUUUGAUAGAGCGGUAUAAGGAGGGAAAGGGGCGUUAGUGACGGUUAGUGUAUUCUCGUUCAUCGAGCAGCAGCAGACGACGACGACGACCCGCACGCUCCUUCGAGUGGCGUUCUCUUUUCUCAUCUCGUUUGCUCGUAGCUCUCAGCUGCUUGCUUUUAGUGCCACAGCCUCUGCUUCCCGUAGGGCCAUCCGCUUGAGGGAGUCACUCGUAUUUUGCCCCCAUCACAGAGCUUCUUUUCCAUUUUUCUGUGCCUUUAAAUGAUUACCUACUGUUCGUAACGGCAGCAUGAAUCACUAGACGAAGAAAUAUCACAGGCAUUGCGACGGAAUCAGCGCCUCGGCAUUUAAUUGGUACAGAAGGAGAGCGACACGAUCUUGAUGAUAUCAUCCUACGUUGCCUUUGCUUGGCUGUUAGUUAUCUGGCAGGCAUCUGAUUAAUUGACCUACUAAUGGAGUACAGCUGAGCGUCAGUCUUGUGCAAGUGUUAAACAUCAUCAGAUCGUACAUUUUCAUAGCUUCUGUGUACGUGUAACGUGAGCUUUUUGUGUCCUGCUUUAGCCACUUCACCUUGUCGGUCCUUUAGUCGUCUAAAAAUUAGAUCAGUAAAAUUCUCUUGGAUAAUGCUGCUGCAGUUUGAAUCUGCCAGCUGAUCUUAUUGUACAUCUGAAAUGCGUUGUGCAGAACAGGAAACUCUGUGGAUGUAAUUAAUUUGUGUGGCACUAAAUGUGUGGGUUGAUGAAUAAGGAAAAAGGAAAUAUAGAACGAUCGUGUUAGGUGUCUGUGUUUCUGCUAAUUUGCGGAAUCGAGUGGACAGACAGAGGAAAAUAGAUUUCUGUCUACUACUUAUCUUCAUUUUUAGCAUUAAUGUAAUUAUCGUGUUUUCUCAUACACAAUAUAUCCUGAUGUUUUACUAAUAACAAAGGCCAAACAAAAAAACAGUCGUCGAUAGGCGUGGCUGGAAAGAAAAACACAGAGGACGCAGAAAAGCACCCUAGAAAGCCUCAGACAACAGGCAGAUCGUAUGAGAGGCUCAGAGGAUACACCGCCAGCUGACAGGUCAGGCCUACACGACAGGUCAGUGGACUACACGGUGACUGACAACCGCCCGAAUAGUAGCUUUUGAACACUCUGUACUAGCUACUCGAAGAAAAGCCAGUCUCUCGUUUAGCUGAUCCACGGCUGGUCAAAUUACUAAGUUACCUGUAAACAGGUUGUUGUAGCAGCUCGGCAGACUCAAUAUAAUAGACCGCAUGCCAGUGUGUUAAUGUUUUAACCGUAUUCACUAAUUGGCAACAAGGGGCUUAGUCCCACAUUCGGUAGAUAUCUGGAAAGAUAAUUGUUUAAACAGAAGUCUGUCUUCCAUGUUCCCGGCUGCUUCUUCUGUAUAGAAGCUGAUUAAUACGAUAGGAUCCGUCUAUGUGUGCCUGUUUUGAGGAAGAGUGUAUUUAGUGGUAAUUUUUUGUGUUGGAAUGGCGAACUGGUUCUGUGCAUGCGCCUGCCUGUGUUUCCUGCAUUGUUUGUGUCGAACAUUGUCGUCAAUGAGUCAGGUUCUGUCAGGCAGCGCUGGAAACCGAGUCUUUAGAAGUAAUUACCAACAACAGCCGUUACUGAAGUGACAACCACAACAGUCAGUGCAACGUAGUUGUGGAUAGGCUACUAACCACUGCGAUGACAAAAACCUUGAAGUUUUUGUUUCGUAGCGUGGUUGGUCUCCCUUUUUCCUUCCACCUCGAUGUGGAUGUCGUCGCCGUACGAUGGUCGUUCAUCUGUCCAUCAUGAUCCCGUUAUUAUUCCGUUCCUCCUUCAAUGAUACUUGUACCAUUGUUAUAAGUCGCCGUAUAUAAUAAUAAUAACAGCGACAACGAUAAUAGCAAGUGGGGCAAUGAUGAUAAUCUUUGCUUUGGGGCUGGAAGGCUGGGACUUACCGUAAACCUGCUACGUUUGUGCAUAUAGUAGUUCUUGUCGUAGAGAGCCAGCAACUGCAGGAGCUGUCGCUGCCGCCGCCGCUGUCGCCGCCGCUGUCGCCGCCGCUGCCGCCGCCGCUGCCGCCGCCGCUGCUUAAAGGAUGACUGAAACAGUGAGAUAAAAACCUUGACGCCGCCGUUAUUGCAGACGUCGGUGGUGUUGCUGCUGCUGUUCGUUUAUAUGCGAAGAUGACCUGACCGGCUCCCCCAGCACAGGUCGUAGUAACAGCAGUAGCGCUAACCGACGGGAGGAUCGCUAUGAUUGUUGGACGUCCGACUGACUGAAUAUUGCCACUAGACUGUGCGGUUCGACGCGGAACGCGUUGCAAUAGACGGCAAUGUUAUUUAUAAUAGCAUUUUAUAAUAAUUUCUAUAAUAAUACAACAAUUAUACAUGAUAUAAAUAGCGUACAGUUUUGGACUCUUA